ACGCCGGUAGCUCAGUGGAUAGAGCAUCGGAUUUCUAAUCCGACGGUCGUGGGUUCGAGUCCCGCCCGGCGUA
This 73-nucleotide transfer RNA is filed under the name Planctomycetota bacterium. RNAcentral describes it as "tRNA-Arg". It matches the Rfam family "tRNA". From Rfam's summary of the family: Transfer RNA (tRNA) molecules are approximately 80 nucleotides in length. Their secondary structure includes four short double-helical elements and three loops (D, anti-codon, and T loops). Further hydrogen bonds mediate the characteristic L-shaped molecular structure. tRNAs have two regions of fundamental functional importance: the anti-codon, which is responsible for specific mRNA codon recognition, and the 3' end, to which the tRNAs corresponding amino acid is attached (by aminoacyl-tRNA synthetases). tRNAs cope with the degeneracy of the genetic code in two manners: having more than one tRNA (with a specific anti-codon) for a particular amino acid; and 'wobble' base-pairing, i.e. permitting non-standard base-pairing at the 3rd anti-codon position. Lineage: Bacteria; Pseudomonadati; Planctomycetota. The record is from RNAcentral.